RNAcentral lists this ribosomal RNA (253 nucleotides) under uncultured bacterium. RNAcentral describes it as "partial 16S ribosomal RNA". It matches the Rfam family "Bacterial small subunit ribosomal RNA", at positions 524 to 776 of the family's 1533-position model. The record is from RNAcentral.
UACGUAGGGUGCAAGCGUUGUCCGGAAUUAUUGGGCGUAAAGAGCUUGUAGGCGGUUUGUCGCGUCUGCUGUGAAAUUUCGGGGCUCAACCCCGAACUUGCAGUGGGUACGGGCAGACUAGAGUGUGGUAGGGGAGACUGGAAUUCCUGGUGUAGCGGUGAAAUGCGCAGAUAUCAGGAGGAACACCGAUGGCGAAGGCAGGUCUCUGGACAGUUCCUGACGCUGAGGCACGAAGGUCAGGGGAGCAAACGGG